AGCGAACGCUGGCGGCAGGCCUAACACAUGCAAGUCGAACGGACCCUUCGGGGUUAGUGGCGGACGGGGGAGUCACACGUGGGAACGUGCCUUUAGGUUCGGAAUAGCUCCUGGAAACGGGUGGUAAUGCCGAAUGUGUCCUUCGGGGGAAAGAUUUAUCGCCUUUAGAGCGGCCCGCGUCUGAUUAGCUAGUUGGUGAGGUAACGGCUCACCAAGGCGACGAUCAGUAGCUGGUCUGAGAGGAUGACCAGCCACACUGGGACUGGGAAACGGCCCAGACUCCUACGGGAGGCGGCAGUGGGGAAUCUUGCGCAAUGGGCGAAAGCCUGACGCAGCCAGGCCGCGUGAAUGAUGAAGGUCUUAGGGUUGUAAAAUUCUUUCACCGGGGACGAUAAUGACGGUACCCGGAGAAGAAGCCCCGGCUAACUUCGUG
This 433-nucleotide ribosomal RNA is filed under the name uncultured bacterium. Its description in RNAcentral is "partial 16S ribosomal RNA". It matches the Rfam family "Bacterial small subunit ribosomal RNA", at positions 29 to 507 of the family's 1533-position model. The record is from RNAcentral.